GGACUUUGCAUGCUACAAUCUUCCUUAGAUCCAACCAAGGUCAAUCUCGGUCGAUGCAAUCAAUCUCAACCAUGGGACUACACUACUGACAACACUUUGAAACUUAAAAACGUACCUCUCUGCUUGGCGAACACCGGACCGAACGCACCGGUUAAGCUCAGUGAGACGAGUUGCUCGAUCCCUAGUUUGUCGCAAUGGCAACCCAUCUCAGCCUCGAAUAUGCUCUUAGCUGCAAAGUCAACCAAUAACUCGCUUUGUCUUGACGUAGAUGGAGACAAUAACGUCGUGGCUACCAACUGCAAGUGUGUGAACGGCGAAGACAGCUCGUGUGACCCGAUGAGCCAGUGGUUUAAGAUCGUUAAAGUCAAUAAAGCAAAUGAGGAUGUAUGAUCAUUAACAAUUGAUCAAGUAACUCAUGAAGUUUGUUUACAUGUUAUUUUCCGUUGAAGUUUCUAAUAAAGACUAUUUCGUUAUAAUGCGUGAUUAUUGUUUCUUUUACCAAUUUGAUCAACAUGAUAACAUUUGAAUAUUUUUGAUUGCCAUCUUAGCAUCAUAGCAUGGUAUUAGGAUCGGAAAAAAAAUCUUAAGGCAUAAUCCCCAAACAAACAAACAAUUUAUCCAGAAAAAAAAAAACAAUUUUUCCUACAAAAUAUGAAAUUUCGAAGAAUCAUCACUUUCUUUAUUAAAGGAAGAAUAAUCAUAGGGAUAGGCGCAUAGCUAGACUUUAGACAAAGCUUAAUAAGAAAAACAUUAAAACAAAAAGACACAAUCAAAUAUAAACUAAUCACAUGACCAUUCCACUUAUUACAAAACUAAUAAUAAACUGGAAGUUGUCUGAACUACACAGCAUACGUAUAUAUACAUGUUGGCAGUAAAAGGAGGUUAAAUGAAACAGAGGGACCAAUGGAAAGAUUCUUCUUCCUCUCUGUCUUUCUUCUUCUUCUUCUUCCUCUGUUCUUCAUCAUCGACAUCACUUUCGCCUUCCCUCUCUCCACCGACUCACGCUGGAUCGUCGACGACGGCAACAAAGGACGGCGAGUGAAGCUCACGUGCGUCAACUGGCCGUCGCAUCUUGAAACUGCGGUUGCGGAAGGUUUAAGCAAGCAGCCUUUGGAUUCGAUCGGGGCCAAGAUCGUUUCAAUGGGGUUCAACUGCGUUAGAUUGACUUGGCCUCUCUACUUAGCCACCGACGAAUCCUUCUCUGGGAUUAUGACUGUGAGGCAAUCUCUUCGCAAGCUUGGUCUUCUUGAAGCUAUCUCUGGUUUUCAAGCUAAUAAUCCAUACAUUCUUGAUCUUCCUCUCAUCAAAGCUUUUCAGGUAAUAAAAUAACUAAUAAAUCAAUUUUUUUCUCAGGAAAAUUUUUUGACCCUUUAUUCAUAAUACAUUUUCAGAAAGGGUUGACUUUUUAUCCUUCUUGAUCCAAGAAUAGUAUGGAGGUUAGAGAUAAGAAUAGUACUUUUUCUUUGAGACUUGUCUUGCAAGAAAGAUCUUGUCUGAAACCUAUCUCUGAGUUUCAAUAUUUUAAUGUCUGCUUAGUCUUCUCUUCAAUAUUUUUCUGAUUACUGUUGGGUUUAGCUUGCUUCUAUCCUUCCUUGCCUGAUUAUAUUAGAAGAAAAACAUAAUAAUCAAUUAGGGUUUCUGGAUUAAGAAAGAUGAGAGUUUUGUUGUUGUUGUUGUUGUUCUGAAACAGGAAGUGGUAUCGUCUCUUGGAAAGCAUAGAUUAAUGGUGAUCUUAGACAAUCACAUAAGCCAACCUGGUUGGUGUUGCAAUGACAAUGAUGGAAACGGUUUUUUUGGCGAUAAACAUUUAAACCCUCAGCUUUGGAUCAGAGGAGUAAAGAGAAUGGCAACAAUGUUUGCUAAUGUUUCAUCAAAUGUGGUUGGUAUGAGUCUAAGGAAUGAGCUUAGAGGUCCUAAACAGAACAUCAAAGACUGGUACAAGUACAUGAGAGAAGGCGCUGAAGCAGUCCACUCUGUGAAUCCGAAUAUUCUUGUCAUUGUCUCCGGUUUAAACUACGAGACUGACUUAUCUUUUCUCCGUGACAAACCGUUUGAAGUAAGCUUCAGGAGGAAACUAGUGUUUGAGAUACACUGGUAUGGGUUUUGGAGUUCUUGGGAAGGAGAUAACUUGAACAAGAUUUGCGGGAGAGAAACCGAAAACAUCAUGAAAAUGUCAGGGUUUCUACUGGAGAAAGGGUUUCCGUUGUUAGUGAGCGAGUUUGGGAUUGAUCAAAGAGGAAACAAUGCGAAUGACAAUAGGUUUCUAAGUUGUUUUAUGGCUUUAGCAGCGGAUCUUGACCUAGAUUGGGCGUUAUGGACUCUUGCAGGAAGCUAUUACGUAAGAGAGAAAACUAUUGGAUAUGAUGAAACGUAUGGAGUUUUGGAUUGGAGCUGGUCAAGCAUAAGAAACUCAACAAUUUUGCAGAUGAUUUCUUCUAUACAGUCUCCUUUUAGAGGUACACACCUAGGCAGUGUAGCUCUUAUACAUUUACAUUUUUACGCUAGCUACAAAAAAUACAAUUUAGAUAUUAUAUUACAUGUUUACAUCCAUACAAAACUAAGUUGGUCUUAAAAAUUUUGUUAUAAAUUAAUGUACAUGAAAAUAUGAAACUAAUGGAGUAUAUUUUUUUUUUCAUAGGAAUUAGAGUUGUAGAUUUGUUUAUUUAAAAGAAUAGAAAAUAGUUAGUUUCAAAAAAAAAAUGUAUAGAAAACAGUGGCUACUUGCUACAUGUUUCUUGAUUUUUACACUAGUGAUAAAAAAAUACAUAUAAAACUAAGUUUAGUUUAGAAACUUUGUUACACUUAUGCUUUUAAUUGUGUCAUUAAUCAGACAACUUUGUAAUAUUCAGGACCAGGUCUAAUGGAAACACACCCCAAGAAAAUAAUAUUCCAUCCUUCAACUGGACUUUGCAUCGUGAGGAAGUCAUUGUUCCAACUUAAGCUAGGUUCAUGCGAUCGAUCAGAAAGCUUUAGACUUUCUUCUCAACGAGUUUUGUCACUAGCAGAAGAAAAAAUCUUGUGCUUAAAAGCUUAUGAGAAAGGAAAGUCCGUGAAGCUGCGUCUGUAUUUCUCAGAAUCUUAUUGUUCACGAUGGAAACUUUUGUCUGACAGCUCUCGUCCAUAACAAAGAACGGAGAAUCAGUUUGUCUGGAUGUGGAUUCGGAUAGUAACAACAUUGUAACGAAAAACUGCAAAUGUUUAGAAGGAGAUGCGAGUUGUGAUCCAAAAAGCCAGUGGUUUAAGGUUGUUACUAGCACGAGAAGUCGGUUUAGAGCAAACCCGUUUCUUCAAGUUAGUCCAUACUCGAAGACAUUUCUUAAGGAACCUUUAUCAGUCUUAUAAGGUGUAUUCAAGGAAAAGUUCAAAUAGCUUUUAACAAGAUUGUACACACGUACCGUACCUACCGCAGUGCUGAUUGCAAUUCUUGAUUUGUAUAACAUUUGAUAAAUAUUGCACAUAAUAACACUGUACAUUUUGAAGACAGUGAUUAGCAGAGAUGCGAUCUAUCAUCAGUGACAAUGACGAGUCUUAAUAAGACAAUUCUGCGUAAUUUUUCGUCAGUUUUUUCUUUGAAUUUUCAAAAACAUAAUAUAUUUUUUUUCAAGGUAUUUAGUUUGUGUUUCUUAAAGAUACGUGAACACGACGUUAGCUUGUAGUACAUGUAAAGUUAUGAUAUGGGAUUGUUAACGAGAACUGAAUAUGUUUGUUUCAGAUCUCAACUAGAUUUACACUCAUAACGAAAGGGUUUCAAUAUAUGCUUUAUAACCAGAUACAUCUUUACUAAAAUUAGGUUUUGUUUAGAUUGGAAUAUAUAUUUUUAUAUUGGAGAAAUAUGUGCACUUAAAUUUUAAGUUCGAUUAAAAACGAAAACUAGGGCUAGGCAUAAAAUCCGAAACCCGAAAUCCAAACCAAAUUCAAACCAAAACACCCGAUGCAUACCCGAUCCGAAAUGUAAAAAAUACCUCAAUGGAUUUUAUAGGGUGUUACAAAACAUAUCUGAACUCAAAGUAUUAUUAACCAAAUCCAAACGGAUAACCCGAAAACCUGAAAAAUAUCUGAAGAAACCAAUCUAAAUGUCCAAAUUAAUAUAUAAUAUAAAUAUUUGAAACAUAAAUAUAUACUUCGAAAAUACAAUUUCAUAUUUAUUUGAAUAUGAUAUCUAACAAUAAGUAUUGAAAAUUUAAAUAAACACUUUAAAUACUCAAUUAUAAACGAUUUUGACACAUGGUGAUAUAUUUCUUAUGUUUUACUUUUAAAUUUUACUUUGGAUAUACCCGAACCGAUCUGAUUUAAUCCGAAUCCGAAUGAUAUAAGAUUACUUCGGACAUAUACGAACCGAUCCGAAACCGAAGUGUUAUAUCCGAAUCCGAUCCCUAUUUGUAAAUUUACUAGAAUAGAACCUAGGAAGUGUUAUAAAAUGGAACCAAAAUCCGAUCCCAAACGCCCAGGCCUAACGAAAACUGUUUGAAACCGGUCACUUUUGAACAGCACUUAAUUCAAAUCCAUCUGGCCUUUUAACUAAUUAUGGGCCUCAAUUAACAACUUGGGCUUAUGAAAGGGCAAUGAAUAUUCCAUAUUCUCAAUUCACACUGAAGUCCAAUUUUUAUUUUAAACCAAACCAUCAUCAUCUUGUUCCGACAUUGAUCUGAAUAUCAAAUACAAACUCGGUCGUGAAAAAGGAAAACAAGUUUAGCGAUUCAAAAGUCCGUGAUUAUGGACAAAACAAUAAGAGUACUAUCACAAAAAAAGCAAGGUAGAAAGAUGGGAUACUUCAAUAAUUACCUUUUGUUAUGUUGUCCCUACACAAUUUAAUAUCUUUAUAAUUUGGUCAACUAACUUGGUUUACCAGGACCGGAUCCUCAACCCGAUGUUAGCAAUCUUAUUUUCCACCCGUUAACCGGACUUUGCAUGCUACAAUCUUCCUUAGAUCCAACCAAGGUCAAUCUCGGUCGAUGCAAUCAAUCUCAACCAUGGGACUACACUACUGACAACACUUUGAAACUUAAAAACGUACCUCUCUGCUUGGCGAACACCGGACCGAACGCACCGCUUAAGCUCAGUGAGACGAGUUGCUCGAUCCCUAGUUUGUCGCAAUGGCAACCCAUCUCAGCCUCGAAUAUGCUCUUAGCUGCAAAGUCA
This 5139-nucleotide long non-coding RNA is filed under the name Brassica napus (rape). RNAcentral describes it as "long non-coding RNA (BNAP_LNC005560)". Lineage: Eukaryota; Viridiplantae; Streptophyta; Magnoliopsida; Brassicales; Brassicaceae. The record is from RNAcentral.